RNAcentral lists this transfer RNA (28 nucleotides) under Hemipsilichthys nimius. RNAcentral's name for it is "partial tRNA-Ser". Lineage: Eukaryota; Metazoa; Chordata; Actinopteri; Siluriformes; Loricariidae. The record is from RNAcentral.
GAGAGAGGCCAGAGACAAUAAGGGCUGC